GAGGACACUACUGGGGACACAAAAACAAAAGCACAAGCACAUGGCAAAACACUAACAAACAGGGGAAUGACAUCAACAUGAGGAGAGAAUAUGGGGGAAACAGAGGGAAAAAACACCAGGGUUAGACAGGGAUCCUCACGUUAGCUUUCAACAAUUGAGCCGCGUAAAUCCCGAUAACCAGACCGAUAGAGCAAUUGUUGAACAAUAGUAUAUGAAGUCCUAUUAUUAUUAAUGUUUCAGAGGACAUUUAGAAAAAUAUAAUUUAACCAAGCCAACGUUCAUGGAAUCAUGGACCUUCCUCAUCUGCACAAUCUCUCUCUUAGAGGAUGCCGUCUAUCGGAGGGACGCCUUUUACGGCUACUUGUCUGCUCCUGGGCUCACACUACAGCCAUUGGCCGGGUGCUGUAUGCAGGUGGCUGAGCUCAAGACUAACUGUGACUUUGGUGUGACUCGGAUGUACCUGCGGGGAAGACAAAUACUUGUUUGAGAGAUGCGGCAAAAGUGUAACCCUCAAACAGAUAACUUGAUGGUUGCCGAUGGAGGACUAGUCGCAUAGCGGCUGCAGUGCACGCAGGGCGCCUGGCUGGAAAUUAGUCGGCCGGCCGAACUUGAUGGACCUCCGCACUGCUGUCUCGGGACAUGCGUUUCUCUAACAUCAAAUGCGUGGUCCCUGCUAAAAACACGUUAUCUUAUUUAGGCAAGCGGGUAGCAACAUUCCUGUGCCACUAAGUGAGCAUGGCGGACUGUUUCUACUGGUCCUCGAUCCGAAGCAGUUACGAGGCCAACCGGGUGCAGUUGUUGAUGACCUGGUCCCAAGAGCGCCAGAAGUCUACAAAGCUGCUGAUGUCACAGGGUGGACGAUUGGUGACAGUUGCAUGUUUUAUUGAUUGCAUAUUUUACAAUUUAUUGACUUAUGAUUGCAUGUUUUAUGACUUAUAAAUUAUGAUUGUUUGCAUGUUUAACGAUUUCUUGUGUGCUUUGAGUUUUGGUUUGCGUUGUAUCCUCCAUCAAUUAAGAUCGUCGUCCCCAGUGACAAGCUACCAAUUAGCGGCAUGUGACAAAUUGACCAAUGGGGAAAGGCCAGGGCGCGGGACUUAUUUUUAAACAGGAAAAGGGGACACUGAAGAGAGCAGGGGAAUAGGAACACAACGCAGUUUUGAGCGAAUGCGAACAGCAGAAGUGUAGUGGAAAUUUGUGGAUUUAGCCCAUGUGAGAAAUCAAAAGUAUCUUGAGCUUGCUUUGUGAACUAGAAUAUAGGAAAAAGAUAAAGAAUACAGAAAUCAUAAGCACAAGUCGUAAGCACAGACAGAAGUCGAAUGACUACAAUUCAGCUGAAAAGGGACAGAUGUUCCUUCCCCCAAAAGGAGCAGGAAGAUCUGACAAAGUUAAAGAGGAGAACAGGAGCUUAUGUACACUUCAGGGAGGUUUGUGCUGCCUCAGCACAGGAGAGCCCACCCCUCAAGAGGAAUGUUGGCAAAGUACCAGAUGAUGUAGGGGUGACCCCGUGACCCUCCCUUUAUGGACCCAGACAAUCAACAACAACCUAAAGGUCAGUCAGGGCACGUAUGAUUUCAUCUGUGUCUUAUCUCACCCUGGACUGUCUUAAGUCACCGGCUCACAUCAAAGGUCACAUUCCUGAGAGCCUCACCCUAUGCAGGCUCAACAAUUCUCCCCCAACAAGAAGCAGACGAAGCAGAAGCAGACGCACCACCAGCACCAGCAGCAUCAGACGCAGCAGAAGCCGCAGCUGGCAGUCAGACGUCUGAACCGGUGGAAUAAUUACGCGCAGAACUUCGCUCUGCUGCGCUGGUGACAUACAUUUGGCGUUGUCGGCAGGAUCAGCGUCUAAAAAAGGUGCCAUUGGAACCGCAAGAACUGUGGUAACGAAACAGGUGAAGUUUCUGGGGCAUGUGGUUGACAGGGAAGGGGUCCGUCCCGAUCCUGAGAAGGUGUCUGCAGUCACCGAAUGGAGUCCUCCAACGACCAUCAAACAGGUUCCCCCAGGUGUCCAUGUCCACAGGCAGAGCAUCUGCUAGGGUCAACCUUACCACUGCUAGACUCGACCAAGAGGACUGAGUGGCACCACUAUCCAGCGAUUGGGGAAACUGGCAACAAGAUGACUCAGACAUUGCCAUCAUCAAGAGGUAUGAGGGCCAGAGAAGAGGGCUACGACCGAUAAGACCAGAAGGAUCCUCCAACAAUGGAAGAAAUUGAUUGUCCGAGAGCAGGUGCUCUACCGAGAGCGUCGAACCUCGGAGAUUCACCUGGCCGAAGAGGUAGCCAGUUAGUUCCACGGAGGUCAGCUGAGCACCUACAUACUCCUGCGUCGAGCCUCGGGUGUCACGCAGUCAAGUUCCUCUGCCUGUCACUCACCAUUGACUUGUGUUUUCGUCUUGCCUUUGUUUUUUCCCUGCCGGAGAAAAUAAAUAACCCCUGUUGGAGAAAGAGAAACCUUGGUGGUCCUGCGUGUUGCAUCUGGGCCCGUUUGCACAUCAUAACAGAUCGUCUACAUCCAACGUCAACUACCAGCACCUCGGUUUUUCCCAGAGCCCCCCCCCCCCGUUUUAGCAUAUUUAUCUUCUAACUAUAUGUUCCUCCC
Long non-coding RNA from Gasterosteus aculeatus aculeatus (three-spined stickleback), 2599 nucleotides. Lineage: Eukaryota; Metazoa; Chordata; Actinopteri; Perciformes; Gasterosteidae. The record is from Ensembl.